This 279-nucleotide ribosomal RNA is filed under the name uncultured bacterium. Its description in RNAcentral is "partial 16S ribosomal RNA". It matches the Rfam family "Bacterial small subunit ribosomal RNA", at positions 506 to 784 of the family's 1533-position model. The record is from RNAcentral.
UGCCAGCAGCCGCGGUAAUACGUAGGGGGCAAGCGUUAUCCGGAUUUACUGGGUGUAAAGGGUACGUAGGCGGUUAUUUAAGUCAGAUGUGAAAGCCCGAGGCUCAACCUCGGGACUGCAUUUGAAACUGGAUAACUAGAGUACAGGAGAGGAAAGUGGAAUUCCUAGUGUAGCGGUGAAAUGCGUAGAUAUUAGGAAGAACACCAGUGGCGAAGGCGACUUUCUGGACUGUAACUGACGCUGAGGUACGAAAGCGUGGGGAGCGAACAGGAUUAGAUA